UGCCGCCGCCGCGGUAAUACGGAGGGUGCAAGCGUUGUCCGGAAUCACUGGGCGCAAAGGGUGCGCAGGCGGGGCAGCAAGUCGGAGGUGAAAGCCCGUGGCUCAACCACGGAAGUGCCUUCGAAACUGUUGCUCUUGAGUCCCGGAGAGGUUGCCGGAAUUCGUGGUGUAGCGGUGAAAUGCGUAGAUAUCACGAGGAGCACCAGAGGCGAAAGCGGGCAACUGGACGGGUACUGACGCCCAGGCACGAAAGCGCGGGGAGCAAACAGGAUUAGAUACCCGGGUAGUCC
RNAcentral lists this ribosomal RNA (290 nucleotides) under uncultured bacterium. Its description in RNAcentral is "partial 16S ribosomal RNA". It matches the Rfam family "Bacterial small subunit ribosomal RNA", at positions 506 to 796 of the family's 1533-position model. The record is from RNAcentral.